Vespula vulgaris is the source of this 2555-nucleotide long non-coding RNA. RefSeq lists it as uncharacterized. The transcript is spliced from 3 exons. NCBI's taxonomy places the organism in Eukaryota, Metazoa, Arthropoda, Insecta, Hymenoptera, Vespidae. The record is from RefSeq and is a predicted model, not a curated record.
AACCUGAACAAAAUUAACAAAUAAACAUAUAACUAGUUAUAGCUAAUCAAAUUGAUAAAGAAAUACAAGCCGUUAUUUUAUUCGAUUCGACAUAGAAGGUUAUUUUAUAUCACGAUAUCAUCAUCAUCAUCAUCAUCGUCGUCGUCAUCAUCGUCAUCAUCUUCAUUAUAAUCGUUAAGAUAGAUUCGUACACGUGUAUUUCUCACCGCUAGUUACAGCAAUAGACGAGAAUAGUGGGACAAAUUGCGCAUUACGUGUCAUAGUACGUGUCAAUGUACAUACGUACAUAGGCAUAUCGUAUUUAGAGUCAUACGAUGUGUUAUAAUCAUUUUUCUCUAGGACGUACGUAAGUAUUACGUUCGUAUUCAUUUCACAAGGAAGAGAAAAGGAAGGGAGAUCACAAAAAAUUAAUAAAUAACAACAUUUGAACUUUCUCUCUCUCUCUCUCUCUUUCUCUAUAUCUCCUAUUUUUCUUUUUUUUUUUCUUUUUGCGAAGAUCGUAAAAGAUGUAAUGAAUACAACUUAUCCACUUUUCAUAAAAGAAAUUGAAAAAAGAAAAAGUAAAGUACAUUAAAAGCGAUAAAGAAAAUUCUCCCAAUUAUUUUAGCGCACGAUGAGUUAGUAGCUUGUAUGUGUUUUCAUGAAUACAUCGACUGAGCUAGAGAAUUACAAACGAGAUAACGAGCCUUGUAGAUAGUAACAAUAAUAACAAUAAGAACACGUCAACCGAAGGAAAGAGCCGUUCUCAUCCAUCCAGUCAAGCCAGUCGCCGCGAAUAAAAGUCUAAACACGAAGAGUAGAGAGCAAUUGAAAGCGAGCGGCACAAAACUCUUUUUCUAGUUAAUUUAUCCGAGAGGAGGAGCCGGAGGUCAAUCGACUUGAUACGUAUCGUUAUGACGAAGAGAAAAAGAGAAAGAGAUAGAGAGAGAUAGACAGACAGACAGACAGACAGACAGAGAGAGAGAGAGAGAGAGAGAGAGAGAGAGAGAGAGAGAGAGAGAGAGAGAGAGAGAGAGAGAGAGAGAGAGAGAGAGAGAGAAUAGGGGAAGAAACUUUACGAGGAUAAAAGAAGAAAGACGAGGAUAGAAACCACUGAAAGACUUUGUCUUUUUAUUUUUAACAAACCGAAUUUGGAUCAAAAGUAAUAGGAUAUUUCUUCAAGACGUUCGCAAAGUUUAAAACAAACCUUUAUAUUUCUUUACACUCUCUUAAAAUAUACGUAAUAGAAAUUUGAAAAAAGAAAAAGAAAAUGUUAAAUUGAAAAGUACGUGAUUCUCAUGAAUUCGUAAUUAUUUAUAUAUUAAAUCUUAUUAUAAUUUAAAGUUUGUCGUAUUUGAAUAAAAAAAAAAAAAAAAAAAAAACGGAGAUGCUGUUUCUUCAAGACGUUCGCAAAGUUUAAAAUAAAUCUUUGUACUUUCUUUUUGCUCUUUUAAAUCUUACAUAAUAGAAAUCUAAAAAAAAAAGAGAGAGAGAAAGAGAAAGAGAGAGAGAGAAAAAAGAAGGAAGGAAACACGUAAAAAAAAAAUUUUUUUUUAAUUAUAAACUAUACGAUUCUCGUGAAAUCUUACGAAUUAUUCGUAACGUUAAAACUUAGAAAUAAAAGACAUCAAUUAUACAACUCAACUAUCAAAUAACGCUACGUUUGUUAAACUACAUCGGUCUGCGACGUGUUAAAGACUAGUAACACUUAAAAUUCGACGCAUCACGAGCGAUAUUCAAAUGCCACACCGGAAACAUGAACGUGAUUAAGCGCGUGGACUUUAAUCCUAUCGUUACGGCGUUGACUAAGACCAUCGAAUGAACGAACUACGAGAAUGAGAUAAAGAGAAACUGAAAGAAAGAGGGGAAGAGAAGUCUUAAUACGAGGUAAGAGAGAGAGAGAGAAAGAGAGAGAAAGAGAGAGAGAGAGAGAGAGAGAGAGAGAGAGAGAGAGAGAAAAGAAACGGCACAAAAUUAUUUCAUAGAAAAAUUUUUCUUAUUAAAGUUUUAUGUUAGCGAAGAGAAAUCACGAAGGAGAGCUCAAGGACGAGCAUGAAUACCAUUUAACAAGGGUUAAAAUAAAAAAACGGAAGCGUCGUUGUCGGUCACGGCAUGCGAUCGAAAGAUGAUUAAAACGUAAAUUUCCCGGUAAAGUGAGAAUUCUCAUGAAAACUUGGAGAACCGGCUAAUUUUUUUCAUGAACGACAUAGACAAGGAUACGAGAAACUGCUCGAUAUUUUUGUUAGACUCAAUCGAAACGAACCGUGGCGAAGGCGAGAUUGGCUGAAUCAGUUAAUUGAGACGAAUUCGUUUUAUCAAGUGGAGUAUAACGAUGGGGGAAUGGGGAAGGAGAGGGUUAAAUAUCGCCGAAGCUGAGUCAAGCAAAUUAAGGGAGUUACUUUUGAUUUAAAUGAUGUCAUAUUAAUUCGAUCAAAAGAACGAUCGACGUGACAUCGUAAUAUCGAUCUUUAAAUCGAUAUGUUUUUUUUAAGUCGCUCAUGAACUAUUUAAAUUUACGAUCUUUAUUCUUAAAUAGAAAUUCUACGGUUAAUAGCGUAAGCGUUCACAUUUAUCGA